This 253-nucleotide ribosomal RNA is filed under the name uncultured bacterium. RNAcentral's name for it is "partial 16S ribosomal RNA". It matches the Rfam family "Bacterial small subunit ribosomal RNA", at positions 524 to 776 of the family's 1533-position model. The record is from RNAcentral.
UACGAACCGUGCGAACGUUGUUCGGAUUCACUGGGCUUAAAGGGCGCGUAGGCGGACGGUCAAGUCAGGGGUGAAAUCUUUCAGCUCAACUGGAAAAGUGCCUUUGAUACUGAUCGUCUCGAGGGAGGUAGGGGCAUGUGGAACUUCCGGUGGAGCGGUGAAAUGCGUAGAUAUCGGAAGGAACGCCGGUGGCGAAAGCGACGUGCUGGACCUCUUCUGACGCUGAGGCGCGAAAGCUAGGGGAGCAAACGGG